GCUCCGUUGGUGAACCAGCGGAGGGAUCAUUACAGGACUCGCAAGACUCCUACAACCCUGUGAACUUAACUAUAAGCACGUUGCUUCGGCGGGUGUCUCGGAGGGGGUUCUCCCUCCCCGAGACGCUAAACCCGCCGGCAGCCUACUAUACUCUGUCUCUUUGCGUUGGCAUCUCGAGUACAAUCAAACAAGUUAAAACUUUCAACAACGGAUCUCUUGGUUCUGGCAUCGAUGAAGUACGCAGC
RNAcentral lists this unclassified non-coding RNA (245 nucleotides) under plant metagenome. RNAcentral describes it as "partial contains small subunit ribosomal RNA, internal transcribed spacer 1, and 5.8S ribosomal RNA". The stretch from base 197 to 245 matches the Rfam family "5.8S ribosomal RNA", at positions 1 to 49 of the family's 154-position model. The record is from RNAcentral.